GAUGAACGCUGGCGGCGUGCCUAAUACAUGCAAGUCGAGCGAACAGACGAGGAGCUUGCUCCUCUGACGUUAGCGGCGGACGGGUGAGUAACACGUGGAUAACCUACCUAUAAGACUGGGAUAACUUCGGGAAACCGGAGCUAAUACCGGAUAAUAUAUUGAACCGCAUGGUUCAAUAGUGAAAGACGGUUUUGCUGUCACUUAUAGAUGGUUCCGCGCCGCAUUAGCUAGUUGGUAAGGUAACGGCUUACCAAGGCAACGAUGCGUAGCCGACCUGAGAGGGUGAUCGGCCACACUGGAACUGAGACACGGUCCAGACUCCUUCGGGAGGCAGCAGUAGGGAAUCUUCCGCAAUGGGCGAAAGCUUGACGGAGCAACGCCGCGUGAGUGAUGAAGGUCUUCGGAUCGUAAAACUCUGUUAUUAGGGAAGAACAAAUGUGUAAGUAACUAUGCACGUCUUGACGGUACCUAAUCAGAAAGCCACGGCUAACUACGUG
Molecule: ribosomal RNA, 497 nt
Filed under: uncultured bacterium
Lineage: Bacteria
Description: partial 16S ribosomal RNA
Rfam family: Bacterial small subunit ribosomal RNA
Source: RNAcentral